GACAGAGGGUGCGAGCGUUGUCUGGAAUUACUGGGCGUAAAGAGCUCGUAGGUGGUUUGUCGCGUUGUUCGUGAAAACUCAAGGCUUAACCUUGGGCGUGCGGGCGAUACGGGCAGACUGGAGUACUGCAGGGGAGACUGGAAUUCCUGGUGUAGCGGUGGAAUGCGCAGAUAUCAGGAGGAACACCAGUUGCGAAGGCGGCUCUCUGACCAGCACUGACACUGAGGCACGAAAGCGUGGGGAGCAAACAGG
RNAcentral lists this ribosomal RNA (252 nucleotides) under uncultured bacterium. RNAcentral's name for it is "partial 16S ribosomal RNA". It matches the Rfam family "Bacterial small subunit ribosomal RNA", at positions 524 to 776 of the family's 1533-position model. The record is from RNAcentral.